GAUGAACGCUGGCGGCGUGCCUAAUACAUGCAAGUCGAGCGAACGGACGAGAAGCUUGCUUCUCUGAUGUUAGCGGCGGACGGGUGAGUAACACGUGGAUAACCUACCUAUAAGACUGGGAUAACUUCGGGAAACCGGAGCUAAUACCGGAUGAUAUUUUGAACCGCAUGGUUCAAAAGUGAAAGACGGUCUUGCUGUCACUUAUAGAUGGAUCCGCGCUGCAUUAGCUAGUUGGUAAGGUAACGGCUUACCAAGGCAACGAUGCAUAGCCGACCUGAGAGGGUGAUCGGCCACACUGGAACGGAGACACGGUCCAGACUCCUACGGGAGGCAGCAGUAGGGAAUCUUCCGCAAUGGGCGAAAGCCUGACGGAGCAACGCCGCGUGAGUGAUGAAGGUCUUCGGAUCGGAAAACUCUAUUAUUAGGGAAGAACAUAUGUGUAAGUAACUGUGCACAUCUUGACGGUACCUAAUCAGAAAGCCACGGCUAACUACGUG
Molecule: ribosomal RNA, 497 nt
Filed under: uncultured bacterium
Lineage: Bacteria
Description: partial 16S ribosomal RNA
Rfam family: Bacterial small subunit ribosomal RNA
Source: RNAcentral